GAAUCCUGGUUACCAUGCUAUAUUUAAACAUCUAACAAGUCACAGUCAUUGAUCCUAUUCUUCUUGUACCAAGCGUGCAGACCAAGCGCACAAAGAUGAUGAGCUCGAGGUUGCUGAUCCUGGCUGUGGCCGUCACCUGCGUAGCGCUGACAAACGCAGACGCCUCGAUGGAUGAUGGUUACUAUGCUGUUGGAGAGAGAGCCCUAGAAGACAGAUACCCAAGAGAAUACUACCCAAGCAACUCAAGGGAUUCCGCAGAUGAUUACAAAUAUCAAUAUCAAGAACGACCAUACGAUCAGAAUGAUCUUCAGAUGGAGUUCGAUGGAAAUCUGAAAAUCUUUGGAAAUGGCGCCAACCGAGGACCUUUAGGCCAGACAAGCAGGCUGUAUAAUGUCCUUACUGGCUACGAGGGCUCAGAAGAUGGCUAUUAGCAUGACGCGUAUCACUUUGGAGAGGCAUCUGAUACCUGAUACCCGAUAUCCUUUCAUCUGAUGACCACUGCUUGUAACGGGACAAUGGGAAUAUAUGAUUUUGUAUCCGUCA
Long non-coding RNA from Haliotis rufescens (red abalone), 543 nucleotides. RefSeq lists it as uncharacterized. The record is from RefSeq and is a predicted model, not a curated record. The transcript is spliced from 3 exons. Lineage: Eukaryota; Metazoa; Mollusca; Gastropoda; Lepetellida; Haliotidae.